Molecule: non-coding RNA, 26 nt
Filed under: Bombyx mori (domestic silkworm)
Lineage: Eukaryota; Metazoa; Arthropoda; Insecta; Lepidoptera; Bombycidae
Source: RNAcentral
UAGCAGUGUUAGAGGUGUGAGAAGUG